This 250-nucleotide ribosomal RNA is filed under the name uncultured bacterium. Its description in RNAcentral is "partial 16S ribosomal RNA". It matches the Rfam family "Bacterial small subunit ribosomal RNA", at positions 524 to 773 of the family's 1533-position model. RNAcentral also lists the same sequence under 1 other name. The record is from RNAcentral.
UACGAAGGGUGCAAGCGUUACUCGGAAUUACUGGGCGUAAAGCGUGCGUAGGUGGUUUGUUAAGUCUGAUGUGGAAGCCCUGGGCUCAACCUGGGAAUUGCAUUGGAUACUGGCAGGCUAGAGUGCGGUAGAGGGUAGUGGAAUUCCCGGUGUAGCAGUGAAAUGCGUAGAGAUCGGGAGGAACAUCCGUGGCGAAGGCGACUACCUGGACCAGCACUGACACUGAGGCACGAAAGCGUGGGGAGCAAAC